RNAcentral lists this ribosomal RNA (506 nucleotides) under uncultured bacterium. RNAcentral describes it as "partial 16S ribosomal RNA". It matches the Rfam family "Bacterial small subunit ribosomal RNA", at positions 29 to 523 of the family's 1533-position model. The record is from RNAcentral.
AGUGAACGCCGGCGGUAGGCCUAACACAUGCAAGUCGAACGGCAGCACAGGAGAGCUUGCUCUCUGGGUGGCGAGUGGCGGACGGGUGAGGAAUACAUCGGAAUCUACUCUGUCGUGGGGGAUAACGUAGGGAAACUUACGCUAAUACCGCAUACGACCUACGGGUGAAAGCAGGGGACCUUCGGGCCUUGCGCGAUUGAAUGAGCCGAUGUCGGAUUAGCUAGUUGGCGGGGUAAAGGCCCACCAAGGCGACGAUCCGUAGCUGGUCUGAGAGGAUGAUCGGCCACACUGGAACGGAGACACGGUCCAGACUCCUACGGGGGGCAGCAGUGGGGAAUAUGGGACAAUGGGCGCAAGCCUGAUCCAGCCAUACCGCGUGGGUGAAGAAGGCCUUCGGGUUGUAAAGCCCUUUUGUUGGGAAAGAAAUCCAGCUGGCUAAUACCCGGUUGGGAUGACGGUACCCAAAGAAUAAGCACCGGCUAACUUCGUGCCAGCAGCCGCCGUAA